UACGUAGGGGGCAAGCGUUGUCCGGAAUUAUUGGGCGUAAAGAGCGCGUAGGCGGUCCGAUAAGUCGGCUGUGAAAGUCCAGGGCUCAACCCUGGAAAGCCGGCCGAUACUGUCGGACUAGAGUCCGGAAGAGGCAAGUGGAAUUCCCGGUGUAGCGGUGAAAUGCGCAGAUAUCGGGAGGAACACCAAUGGCGAAGGCAGCUGUCUUGGACGGUACUGACGCUGAGGCGCGAAAGCGUGGGGAGCAAACAGG
RNAcentral lists this ribosomal RNA (253 nucleotides) under uncultured bacterium. RNAcentral describes it as "partial 16S ribosomal RNA". It matches the Rfam family "Bacterial small subunit ribosomal RNA", at positions 524 to 776 of the family's 1533-position model. The record is from RNAcentral.